RNAcentral lists this long non-coding RNA (561 nucleotides) under Olea europaea subsp. europaea. Lineage: Eukaryota; Viridiplantae; Streptophyta; Magnoliopsida; Lamiales; Oleaceae. The record is from RNAcentral.
GUGACAAGUGCCAGCGCUUCUCUAACGUGCAAAGACAGCCUGCUCAGAGCCUCUCUGUAGUGACCAGCCCUUGGCCAUUCGCCAAGUGGGGCAUCGACUUCAUUGGUCCACUCCCAAAAGGGAGGGGAAGCGCAACUUUCGCCAUUGUCGCCAUCGACUACUUCACUAAGUGGGUCGAGGCAGAACCCCUUGCCCGAAUCACCGAGGCCAAUACUACGAAGUUCGUUUGGAAAAACGUCAUUUGUAGAUUCGGCAUCCCCCACUCCAUUGUCUCUGAUAAUGGGCGGCAGUUCGACAAUAGGAAGAUGCGAGACUUAUGCGACGAACUGGGCAUAAAGAAGGACUUCUCGACUCCGCAUCACCCCCAGGCAAAUGGACAGGUUGAAGCAGUGAACAAGACUAUCAAGCACACCCUGAAAAGGAAACUGGAUGCCUCGAAAGGCGCCUGGGUUGACGAACUCCCCCACGUCCUCUGGGCCAUCAGAACGACUUGCCGGACUGCAACCGGCGAAUCCCCAUUUUCCAUGACCUACGGAGCUGAAGCAAUGAGUCCAAUCGAAG